Molecule: ribosomal RNA, 474 nt
Filed under: uncultured bacterium
Lineage: Bacteria
Description: bacterial SSU rRNA
Rfam family: Bacterial small subunit ribosomal RNA
Source: RNAcentral
AGAGUUUGAUCAUGGCUCAGAUUGAACGCUGGCGGCAUGCUUAAUACAUGCAAGUCGAACGGUAACAGAUUCUUCGGAAUGCUGACGAGUGGCGGACGGGUGAGUAAUACAUAGGAAUCUGCCCAUGUAGUGGGGGACAACUUGGGGAAACUCAAACUAAUACCGCAUAAUUCCUACGGGAUAAAGAGGGCCACUGCUUGCAAGCUCUUGCUACUGGAUGAGCCUAUGUCGGAUUAGUUAGUUGGUAAGGUAAUGGCUUACCAAGACAGCGAUCCGUAGCUGGUUUGAGAGGAUGAUCAGCCACACUGGGACUGAGACACGGCCCAGACUCCUACGGGAGGCAGCAGUAGGGAGUAUUGGACAAUGGGCGCAAGCCUGAUCCAGCAAUGCCGCGUGUGUGAAGAAGGCCUGCGGGUUGUAAAGCACUUUCAAUUGGGAAGAAAGAUUAUGAGUUAAUACCUUAUAAUAUUGACG